This is a non-coding RNA of Paramuricea clavata, 84 nucleotides long. NCBI's taxonomy places the organism in Eukaryota, Metazoa, Cnidaria, Anthozoa, Malacalcyonacea, Plexauridae. The record is from the annotation of a GenBank genome assembly.
AGAUAAGCAUCUUGAAACCCAAAAUAUGAUUCAAACAAGAAACUCACUUUCUUGUUUGACUCAUAAUUUUGGGUUUCAAGAUGC